CAUAUGCUUGUCUCAAAGAAUAAGCCAUGCAUGUCUAAGUACAAACUAUAUUAAAGUGAAACCGCGAAAGGCUCAUUAAAUCAGUUAUGGUUCCUUAGAUCGUACCACAAAUACUUGGAUAACUGUGGUAAUUCUAGAGCUAAUACAUGCAAACAGAGCUCUGACCGGAGACGGAAGGAGUGCUUUUAUUAGAUCAAAACUAAUCGAUUGCGGUAUAAACAUUUCGGUGUUUUAUCGUAUAUCGUAUAUAAAUAAAUGGUGAAUCUGAAUAACUUUAAGCUGAUCGCAUGGUCUUGUACCGGCGACGCAUCUUUCAAAUGUCUGCCUUAUCAACUGUCGAUGGUAGGAUCUGCGCCUACCAUGGUUGUAACGGGUAACGGGGAAUCAGGUUCGAUUCCGGAGAAGGAGCCUGAGAAACGGCUACCACAUCCAAGGAAGGCAGCAGGCGCGCAAAUUACCCACUCCCGGCACGGGGAGGUAGUGACAAAAAAUAACGAUACGGGACUCAUCCGAGGCCCCGUAAUCGGAAUGAGUACACUUUAAAUCCUUUAACGAGGAUCUAUUGGAGGGCAAGUCUGGUGCCAGCAGCCGCGGUAAUUCCAGCUCCAAUAGCGUAUAUUAAAGUUGUGGCGGUUAAAAAGCUCGUAGUUGAAUUUGUGUCCCACACUGUUGGUCCACCGCCCGCGGUGUUAACUGGCAUGUUUGUGGGACCUCCUGCCGGUGGAUGUAAGUGGGGAUGGGAAUGGGUUUGGUUAAUUGUUCACUGUACGCAUUAUUGUUUCAUUUAUAACUCUCUGUAGUUGUGGUGUGCAAUAUUUGCGGCGGUUUCUCUUUUCCAUAUUAUACUCAUUUUCCAUUUAAAUUUAAACCUGCUCAUCCGACUUUUAUGUAAAUCCUGUCGCGGUGCUCUUAAUUGAGUGUCGAGGCGGGCCGGCACGUUUACUUUGAACAAAUUAGAGUGCUUAAAGCAGGCUAAUUAAUGCCUGAAUAAUUAGUGCAUGGAAUAAUGGAACAGGACCUUGGUUCUAUUUUGUUGGUUUUCGGAACCCCAAGGUAAUGAUUAAUAGGGACAGAUGGGGGCAUUCGUAUUGCGACGUUAGAGGUGAAAUUCUUGGAUCGUCGCAAGACGGACUAAAGCGAAAGCAUUUGCCAAAGAUGUUUUCAUUAAUCAAGAACGAAAGUCAGAGGUUCGAAGGCGAUCAGAUACCGCCCUAGUUCUGACCAUAAACGAUGCCAGCUAGCGAUCCGCCAAAGUUCCUCCGAUGACUUGGCGGGCAGCUUCCGGGAAACCAAAGCUUUUGGGUUCCGGGGGAAGUAUGGUUGCAAAGCUGAAACUUAAAGGAAUUGACGGAAGGGCACCACCAGGAGUGGAGCCUGCGGCUUAAUUUGACUCAACACGGGAAACCUCACCAGGCCCAGACACUGGAAGGAUUGACAGAUUGAGAGCUCUUUCUUGAUUCAGUGGGUGGUGGUGCAUGGCCGUUCUUAGUUGGUGGAGCGAUUUGUCUGGUUAAUUCCGAUAACGAACGAGACUCUAGCCUACUAAAUAGACGUUACACUUACCGGUAUCUCGAAGGCUCACAUCUCUCGUUUCUUUUACUACAUUAUAUCCCUUCUACGGGUAUGCAAUUCAUGUAUUUUGGGAUAAGAUGCUCUCAUUCAUACUGGAGAGUGGAGUUGUUAAUAGCAGCUCUUUCGUCUUUGGGUGGAUGUUGUAGUAUCUUUAUUUCGGGUGCAUGUUUGUUUAUUUUGUAGUUGUGGUGCGUGUAGUGGGCGGGAGUUUGUGGUUUUUACUACCGGCGUACAUAUAAAUCUUCUUAGAGGGACAGGCGGCUUCUAGCCGCACGAGAUUGAGCAAUAACAGGUCUGUGAUGCCCUUAGAUGUUGUGGGCCGCACGCGCGCUACACUGAAGGAAUCAGCGUGUCUUCCCUGUCCGAAAGGUCCGGGUAACCCGCUGAACCUCCUUCGUGCUAGGGAUUGGGGCUUGCAAUUAUUCCCCAUGAACGAGGAAUUCCCAGUAAGCGCGAGUCAUAAGCUCGCGUUGAUUACGUCCCUGCCCUUUGUACACACCGCCCGUCGCUACUACCGAUUGAAUGAUUUAGUGAGGUCUUCGGACUGGUACGCGGUGAUGUUUCGAUAUUACCGAUGUCGCUGGGAAGAUGACCAAACUUGAUUAUUUAGAGGAAU
This 2188-nucleotide ribosomal RNA is filed under the name Pseudomorpha sp. nr. angustata KAO-1997. Its description in RNAcentral is "SSU rRNA". It matches the Rfam family "Eukaryotic small subunit ribosomal RNA". The record is from RNAcentral. Lineage: Eukaryota; Metazoa; Arthropoda; Insecta; Coleoptera; Carabidae.